GCAGUAUUCUGACUGUGCUAAGGUAGCAUAAUCAUUAGUCUUUUAAUUGAAGACUGGUAUGAAUGGCUUAACGAGAAAUUGACUUUUUUUGUUAUAUAAAUUGAAUUUAAUUUUUUAGUGAAAAAGCUAAAAUUCUUCAGAAAGACGAGAAGACCCUAUAGAGUUUUAUGUUAAAGUUAUAUUUUUUAUUAUUAGAUUUUUAAAAAAUUUUAUAAUUAAACAUUUUGUUGGGGCGACAUUAAGAUAAAAAAAACUCUUAUUUUUUAAAAUUUUUUUAGAAAUAUUACUGAUCCUUUAAAAAAGAUUAUAAGAAAAAAUUACCUUAGGGAUAACAGCGUAAUCUUUUUUGAGAGCUCUAAUCGACAAAAAGGUUUGCGACCUCGAUGUUGGACUAAAAUUUAGGCAAAGUGCAGCUGCUUUGUUUUAAGGUCUGUUCGACCUAUA
RNAcentral lists this ribosomal RNA (444 nucleotides) under Trevathana sp. 1 MM-2014. RNAcentral describes it as "partial 16S ribosomal RNA". It matches the Rfam family "Bacterial large subunit ribosomal RNA", at positions 1933 to 2590 of the family's 2925-position model. Lineage: Eukaryota; Metazoa; Arthropoda; Thecostraca; Balanomorpha; Pyrgomatidae. The record is from RNAcentral.